UACAGAGGUGGCAAGCGUUGUUCGGAAUUACUGGGCGUAAAGGGCGCGUAGGCGGUCUUUUAAGUUCCGUGUGAAAUCCCUCGGCUCAACUGGGGAACUGCACGGGAAACUGGAGGGCUUGAGUUCGGGAGAGGGAAGCGGAAUUCCGAGUGUAGCAGUGAAAUGUGUAGAUAUUCGGAAGAACACCAGUGGCGAAGGCAGCAACUUGGCCCCAGAUUGACGCUCAGGCACGAAAGCAUGGGGAUCAAACAGG
Molecule: ribosomal RNA, 253 nt
Filed under: uncultured bacterium
Lineage: Bacteria
Description: partial 16S ribosomal RNA
Rfam family: Bacterial small subunit ribosomal RNA
Source: RNAcentral